GGAAACUUGGAAGUGAGGCCUGAGAAAGGAGGAGAGGAAAGGGGGAGUGACCCCAGAUCCUGAUGGAGAGCCGCCAGAGAGAGGUCCCAACACCAAUGCCUGCCCCAGUCUUGCCCCUUUGCACUGACUUUUCCUCAUUGCUGGGCAGAGAAGCACGUGUCAGUUCCCAGCGUGAGGGAAGUUUUGGUCCAUGACCUGGCUUCUGAGAAAGCUGAGGGAAGCCCCCUCAAGGGCCACAUCGUGACCUACUGAGCUGCCUUUCCACCCUCUAGCUCUGCAGCCCCAGGCUCCUGGCCUUGGCUCUGCCAGGCAGUCAGCCCUCUGCUGAGAGGAGGGCCAGAGCCAGUCCUUAGGAAGGAGCCAGCCUCCUUCACUCCAUGGGGCUGACCUGCCCUCCACGCUGUCAGGCACUCACACCCAGGAGCUGAGAGGCUUCAACGCCCAAAAUGGCACCCAUCCUGCAGUCCCAGGUUUUCUUCUGUUGUAGGAACCCAGGUCCAGGGCCUCUGCCAAGGAGUUCUAUCCGCAAAGAAUAGACUGACAUUUUAGCCACUCUCAGGAGCCUUCUUUCCAGCACCCCACCCCCACCGCUGCCUCCAUUCCUUCUGUCAUGAACCUCUGGACUCUGAGACAAGAAAUACCCUACCAUGUACUGGAAGAAGGGGCUGUGUCACCACCCCUCCCACUCUAGCCCUGUCACCCAGUGCCCCUCCUGCUUCCCACCUCCCAGCCCUGCCACUCCUGGCUACUUCCUGGGAAGACUUAAAGAUCGUCACAGACACCAACACACAUCUCGCCCCACAGGCCCGGUUCCCUCACCUACUCCCCACCUCUCUCCCCUGCUUUCAGAGGCCCUUGUCACUCCAUUACUCAUCUGUCAUCUCUCCAGUGAUGGAAGAUCCUUGGCUUCCCAGCUUCUGGGGAGAUCUGUCAGCUGGGUACACCCCCAAGUAGCUCAUUCAGAGCCACACAGCACCUGUGGUAUGGAAGACCAGGCGUAGGGCCCUAGUGCUCCUCUGAGGCAUCUGCCAGUGCUGAGGUGGGCACAGACCAAUUGAGUCCUGCUCUUGAGCCCACUCACAAAGGGAAGAGCACAGCCCCACGGUGGAUUCAACUUCUGACAGAUUCUGUCAGGGAGGGCUCCGUUGAGCACAUUGUUGCUCACGGGGGCCUAUACACAUGCUGACGAGCGUGAUGGGCUGUGUGUUUCCAUCCAGAGGUGCCACAAAGUCAUGGGAAACACAGGCACCCACCCGGUGUCACAGGCCUUGGUCCCCGCCUUCACACAGCCUGACUCAUCCUUCUAUCCCCAGGGCCAGCACAGAGUGCCUGAUGCUAUAGGCUCGCAGAAAGAGGAACACGCCCAGCAAGAGCAGUCUUCCGGGAGCUAACUGGCCCUGUAAAGAACUUCUUCAAGUCAUAGGAGCGAAGUCCUCUGGAGAAAACCAGCAAAUAAGAAGGAAAUGGCUGACAUUUGCCUCAUGAUGUAGAAGAACACAGCCUUUUCCUCAGGAAAGAGUAUGCCUGGGCUUAGUGAAUUUACAAAUAAAGCAAAGAGCAAACUGGAUAUUCAGCCCCUGGCCUCUCCACCUCACCUCAGGCUCAAACCAGAGACAGCAGCUUGGCGACAGGAGCAGCCGGGCCAGGCCGAGUUCUUCCGCUUGUGGAACGGGGACACUGCUGCAUGAUGCCCCACGCCUGUCUUUCCACCAGGGAAGACAUGAGGACAGUCUGAAGGCUCGGUUCCUGAACGUCAUCCUGGUUUCCCCUGUUGCCUCAGCCACCAUCAAGAGCCCCUUCCAAAAAAAAAGCACCUUCCCAGCAACAGCCUUUCUAACUUCUGGCUUCUCUGCGCACUGUCAGAUCAAGUUGUUCUCACAUUAAAGGUUCAGGAAGAACUGUGAUGCCCCAGAGGGAGUGAUGCUUGGGGACUCCUGGGACGAGGAGGCAGGGCUGGGGCAGGGAAGGUGUUCAGUACACCUGACUUUCUGACACUUCAGAAAAAAGGUGAAAACAGAAACUUGAGCUGUUCAGCUCAAAUAAGACCUAAGGAAACAGCAGCAUCAUUACUCUCCGUUAUUAGUACCACCACCCUCCAUUUUAUUAGAGGGAGCUUUCUCUAAUGCCUGGUAAUUGCCAUGAAAGCCACACUUGUGAUAUCUAAACCUGAUCAGAAAGCUGUGGAAGGUGCCCAAGAUGCCAUUAAAGGGCAGAAGGGAGAAUUGACACAGUAGUUUGAAGUCAGGUGAUCGGAGACACGAUGUUUUAUGACUAAUCUUCUCAGAGUUCAGAUUGUUCAAUAAACUCAUUACUCAUAUUUUUUUUGAAAAAUCCAUCAAAUCUGAGUCUGCUUUGCCUU
Long non-coding RNA from Diceros bicornis minor, 2359 nucleotides. RefSeq lists it as uncharacterized. The transcript has 4 exons. The record is from RefSeq and is a predicted model, not a curated record. Lineage: Eukaryota; Metazoa; Chordata; Mammalia; Perissodactyla; Rhinocerotidae.